This 460-nucleotide ribosomal RNA is filed under the name uncultured bacterium. Its description in RNAcentral is "partial 16S ribosomal RNA". It matches the Rfam family "Bacterial small subunit ribosomal RNA", at positions 338 to 795 of the family's 1533-position model. The record is from RNAcentral.
CCUACGGGAGGCAGCAGUGAGGAAUAUUGGUCAAUGGUCGGGAGACUGAACCAGCCAAGCCGCGUGAGGGAGGAAGGUACAGAGUAUCGUAAACCUCUUUUGUCAGGGAACAAAGACUGGGACGCGUCCCCGGAUGAGUGUACCUGAAGAAAAAGCAUCGGCUAACUCCGUGCCAGCAGCCGCGGUAAUACGGAGGAUGCGAGCGUUAUCCGGAUUUAUGGGGUUUAAAGGGUGCGCAGGCGGUCUGUUAAGUCAGCGGGCAAAGCCCGGGGGUCAACCCCGGGCCGGCCGUUGAAACGGGCAUUCUCGAGUGGGAGAGAGGUAUGCGGAAUGCGGGGUGUAGCGGUGAAAUGCAUAGAUAUCGCGCAGAACUCCGAUUGCGAAGGCAGCAUGCCGGCUCCACACUGACGCUGAGGCACGAAAGCGUGGGUAUCGAACAGGAUUAGAUACCCGGGUAGUC